GCACUUUGGCAGUACAUAUACUAAAAUUGGAAUGAUACAGAGAAGAUUAGCAUGGCCAUUGCACGAGGAUGACAUGCAAAUUCAUGAAAUAUUCCGUAUUUUU
Hippopotamus amphibius kiboko is the source of this 103-nucleotide small nuclear RNA. The record is from RefSeq and is a predicted model, not a curated record. Lineage: Eukaryota; Metazoa; Chordata; Mammalia; Artiodactyla; Hippopotamidae.